This 2895-nucleotide ribosomal RNA is filed under the name human gut metagenome. RNAcentral's name for it is "bacterial LSU rRNA". It matches the Rfam family "Bacterial large subunit ribosomal RNA". The record is from RNAcentral.
ACUAAGCGUACACGGUGGAUGCCCUGGCAGUCAGAGGCGAUGAAGGACGUGCUAAUCUGCGAUAAGCGUCGGUAAGGUGAUAUGAACCGUUAUAACCGGCGAUUUCCGAAUGGGGAAACCCAGUGUGUUUCGACACACUAUCAUUAACUGAAUCCAUAGGUUAAUGAGGCGAACCGGGGGAACUGAAACAUCUAAGUACCCCGAGGAAAAGAAAUCAACCGAGAUUCCCCCAGUAGCGGCGAGCGAACGGGGAGCAGCCCAGAGCCUGAAUCAGUGUGUGUGUUAGUGGAAGCGUCUGGAAAGGCGCGCGAUACAGGGUGACAGCCCCGUACACAAAAAUGCACAUGCUGUGAGCUCGAUGAGUAGGGCGGGACACGUGGUAUCCUGUCUGAAUAUGGGGGGACCAUCCUCCAAGGCUAAAUACUCCUGACUGACCGAUAGUGAACCAGUACCGUGAGGGAAAGGCGAAAAGAACCCCGGCGAGGGGAGUGAAAAAGAACCUGAAACCGUGUACGUACAAGCAGUGGGAGCACGCUUAGGCGUGUGACUGCGUACCUUUUGUAUAAUGGGUCAGCGACUUAUAUUCUGUAGCAAGGUUAACCGAAUAGGGGAGCCGAAGGGAAACCGAGUCUUAACUGGGCGUUAAGUUGCAGGGUAUAGACCCGAAACCCGGUGAUCUAGCCAUGGGCAGGUUGAAGGUUGGGUAACACUAACUGGAGGACCGAACCGACUAAUGUUGAAAAAUUAGCGGAUGACUUGUGGCUGGGGGUGAAAGGCCAAUCAAACCGGGAGAUAGCUGGUUCUCCCCGAAAGCUAUUUAGGUAGCGCCUCGUGAAUUCAUCUCCGGGGGUAGAGCACUGUUUCGGCAAGGGGGUCAUCCCGACUUACCAACCCGAUGCAAACUGCGAAUACCGGAGAAUGUUAUCACGGGAGACACACGGCGGGUGCUAACGUCCGUCGUGAAGAGGGAAACAACCCAGACCGCCAGCUAAGGUCCCAAAGUCAUGGUUAAGUGGGAAACGAUGUGGGAAGGCCCAGACAGCCAGGAUGUUGGCUUAGAAGCAGCCAUCAUUUAAAGAAAGCGUAAUAGCUCACUGGUCGAGUCGGCCUGCGCGGAAGAUGUAACGGGGCUAAACCAUGCACCGAAGCUGCGGCAGCGACGCUUAUGCGUUGUUGGGUAGGGGAGCGUUCUGUAAGCCUGUGAAGGUGUGCUGUGAGGCAUGCUGGAGGUAUCAGAAGUGCGAAUGCUGACAUAAGUAACGAUAAAGCGGGUGAAAAGCCCGCUCGCCGGAAGACCAAGGGUUCCUGUCCAACGUUAAUCGGGGCAGGGUGAGUCGACCCCUAAGGCGAGGCCGAAAGGCGUAGUCGAUGGGAAACAGGUUAAUAUUCCUGUACUUGGUGUUACUGCGAAGGGGGGACGGAGAAGGCUAUGUUGGCCGGGCGACGGUUGUCCCGGUUUAAGCGUGUAGGCUGGUUUUCCAGGCAAAUCCGGAAAAUCAAGGCUGAGGCGUGAUGACGAGGCACUACGGUGCUGAAGCAACAAAUGCCCUGCUUCCAGGAAAAGCCUCUAAGCAUCAGGUAACAUCAAAUCGUACCCCAAACCGACACAGGUGGUCAGGUAGAGAAUACCAAGGCGCUUGAGAGAACUCGGGUGAAGGAACUAGGCAAAAUGGUGCCGUAACUUCGGGAGAAGGCACGCUGAUAUGUAGGUGAAGCGACUUGCUCGUGGAGCUGAAAUCAGUCGAAGAUACCAGCUGGCUGCAACUGUUUAUUAAAAACACAGCACUGUGCAAACACGAAAGUGGACGUAUACGGUGUGACGCCUGCCCGGUGCCGGAAGGUUAAUUGAUGGGGUUAGCGGUAACGCGAAGCUCUUGAUCGAAGCCCCGGUAAACGGCGGCCGUAACUAUAACGGUCCUAAGGUAGCGAAAUUCCUUGUCGGGUAAGUUCCGACCUGCACGAAUGGCGUAAUGAUGGCCAGGCUGUCUCCACCCGAGACUCAGUGAAAUUGAACUCGCUGUGAAGAUGCAGUGUACCCGCGGCAAGACGGAAAGACCCCGUGAACCUUUACUAUAGCUUGACACUGAACAUUGAGCCUUGAUGUGUAGGAUAGGUGGGAGGCUUUGAAGUGUGGACGCCAGUCUGCAUGGAGCCGACCUUGAAAUACCACCCUUUAAUGUUUGAUGUUCUAACGUUGACCCGUAAUCCGGGUUGCGGACAGUGUCUGGUGGGUAGUUUGACUGGGGCGGUCUCCUCCUAAAGAGUAACGGAGGAGCACGAAGGUUGGCUAAUCCUGGUCGGACAUCAGGAGGUUAGUGCAAUGGCAUAAGCCAGCUUGACUGCGAGCGUGACGGCGCGAGCAGGUGCGAAAGCAGGUCAUAGUGAUCCGGUGGUUCUGAAUGGAAGGGCCAUCGCUCAACGGAUAAAAGGUACUCCGGGGAUAACAGGCUGAUACCGCCCAAGAGUUCAUAUCGACGGCGGUGUUUGGCACCUCGAUGUCGGCUCAUCACAUCCUGGGGCUGAAGUAGGUCCCAAGGGUAUGGCUGUUCGCCAUUUAAAGUGGUACGCGAGCUGGGUUUAGAACGUCGUGAGACAGUUCGGUCCCUAUCUGCCGUGGGCGCUGGAGAACUGAGGGGGGCUGCUCCUAGUACGAGAGGACCGGAGUGGACGCAUCACUGGUGUUCGGGUUGUCAUGCCAAUGGCACUGCCCGGUAGCUAAAUGCGGAAGAGAUAAGUGCUGAAAGCAUCUAAGCACGAAACUUGCCCCGAGAUGAGUUCUCCCUGACUCCUUGAGAGUCCUGAAGGAACGUUGAAGACGACGACGUUGAUAGGCCGGGUGUGUAAGCGCAGCGAUGCGUUGAGCUAACCGGUACUAAUGAACCGUGAGGCUUAACC